Molecule: non-coding RNA, 5167 nt
Organism: Podarcis lilfordi (Lilford's wall lizard)
Lineage: Eukaryota; Metazoa; Chordata; Lepidosauria; Squamata; Lacertidae
Source: the annotation of a GenBank genome assembly
ACUUUCUAAUCUUCAUAAAACAGAUUUUGUGUGAUGGCGCCUUGCCAUAAGCUGUGGAAAAAUCUCAGUUCUUUUUGUAUGUUUUUUAGCCCUCAAAAACUGGUGGCACAGAUGUAAAGACUUCAGUAGCACUCUGCAAGGUGAGUUUUAUGGAGAUUGAAAGUAAAGUUGAUGAUCUGCCAGUGUUCACAUUUGGAAGUGCAAUCAGUCUGUGGACAAAACUUUUGAAAAGCAAACUAUCAUUAAGUCUGAUUCACUCCCUUGAAACUUUUUCUUUAGGAGUGUUUCACUUUUUGUAACAGACUGACAACAAUCUCUUUAAAAAGAUGGAAUGAAACGAACAUUGCCAUUAGCACAUGUCAGGAACAUUUUUACUUCAAUUUUAUUUUGUUGCUUUGAAAAAGUAUGGCUAUUUUAGACCCUUAAUUACCAUUGCCCAGAUCUAGGGCUCGUCCAAACAUACCUUUUACAGCACUACUGCACUGUUUUUUGGGUGACAUUUUUAGUGCAAAAAUGUGCUGUUGCUUAUGCACUUCUGCAGUCACUUACCUGUGGUUGAGACUGUAUUUGAUGCUCUUUCCCUUCCACAUCAGUGAUGGGAUGUGUCCAGAAUGAGGCUCUUUCCAUCACACUUAUCACUUCCCCUUUUCUUCCCACUAGUAAAAUUCCGGUUUUUGAGCAUGCAGAGAGGUCACUGGUCUCAUGUAAACUGCCCGACCUCCUUCUUGUAACAAUGACUUGUAAAGAAAUCUAUUGAAUGACAUCUCAAAAGAAAGAAAUCACAAUUUAAAACAAAAGAAAAUUCAGAGAGCAGAACUCUGCCUUUGAAAUCUCUGUUGGAGAAUACUGAAUUUCAGACCAGCAGCAGAUUGUCCUAGGAGACUGAAAUGUACUUCUACUGAACACUGCUAUUAUACAUUUUCAUAUGCAAUAUAGAGCUGACGAAUGAGAACAAUGAAAAAUACCUAGUUACCAAAAGGCCAAGUUUUAACAUUCAACAUUUCAAUUAAUACUGCUUUAAGAAAAGUAAGCUAGGUGUAAUUGCUCCUUUAAAUUCAUCUCCAUGCCUACCAAAACCACUACUUUAGGAGAAGCAGGUGCCAUUUUGUGUGAUUUAGAACAUGUCUUUGCACCCUCUAUUCUUGGCCUUACAUUAAAAAUACUUUAUCAUUCUACUUUGAAUUUUUUGUUACACCUUUAAAAUCAAACAAAUUUACCCAUUCCACUACAAAAUCUUCCAGAACAGUAUAGGGAACUUUGCUGUGAUGGAUGGGACUACCUUUAAAAAAAAAAAAUUGUAUGCAAGUGUUUCAGGGGAAAACACCAAAACAAUUUCCUCCCUCAUUCUCAAUCAUUUCACCUUGGGUCACUUAUUCUAUACCUGCCACACUCAAUAAGAUCAGGACUUGGGCAAAUGAAAUUUGUGAGUAGUCUAGUAUUGCUCGAGGGGACUGAAUACAUAUGAUUCGAAACAGCAUCAAAUGCUUACCUACUGAGAGCAGAGUUGUCAAGUCAUUUCACAUUGGAAUCAAUAGCAAAAUAAAUGCUUUGAUCAGGACAUGCUCUAUGAGAGCUCUGGGGGCUGCACUUUAUAUGUAAAUUCUGAUGUCUAGUACAGACAGUGGUUAGAGCCAAUAAUUAAAAUGACGAGGAAAGAUUUCAGGAAGGGAAUGUAGGGAAAGUGCUGUAAAGUAAACACAUUUUGAAACUUGACCAAAUGCCAGAUAUAUAAUUCCUAGUAAUUUGUGACCUUUAAAACACAGUUUUUAUUGCUUAAUUUGAUUGCAGGAGGGUGGGUAGGAAGGAAGCCAUAAGAAGCUUUGUGAUAAAAUACAUACUUUUGUGCUGAGUGGUUGCUGCUUCCAGAGCUCCAUUGGCAGAGUAAUCCUAACUAAAGGAAACCAGUAGAAGUUACACUAGCCUAAUUUAAGACAGUGUAUGUUACCCCCUUAUGCUGAAAGCAGUUUGGGAUAGAUGUGAGUCUGCCCCUGCCCUCUCCUGUCCACCACCACACCCUUUCUCGGGAGUUAAGCUGGUCCAACUCCAGCCAGCUUCAACUGAAGUGACUGACCACCAGCUAAACUGGUGUAUUUCCAGCUGAGCCCAGAUUCUUCCAGCUCAGCCAGAGAUCUGCCUAUUUCAGACUUGCUUAUCCUGGAAGAUUUUGGGUUUGUUUUGUCUGUAGGUUUAAAUAGGAAAUAACAUGGGUUAUAUGGGGACUGGGCAUUGUGAGGUGAGCAGUAUAGCAAUUUGUGACAAAAAUAAUUACCGUUUAAAUUUAACAGAAGAAGGCCUCAUUCAGCUCCUGCUUUGGGCUAUUUGGGGGACUAAUGUAACUACGUAUUUUUCCAUUUAACUUGUUUUUGGACUAAUGUAACUUUAUAUUUUUUCAAUGUAACUUGUUUUUAGUGUUUAUUUAUCGUUUUAGUAUGCCUCUUGAGAAGGCUACUGAAAGGAGGGUUUUGGUGAACAUAGGCACUCAUUUCACUGUGGAAUGACAACAUGAGGCGGAUUAUCAGCACAGACCCUCCAAGUGUCCCUAUUUUCCAGGGAUGUCCCUGAUUUAGAAAAGCAGGCCCAGUUUCUGAUUUGAUCCCAUAAUGUCCCACUUUUCCUUUGGAUGUCCCUAGUUUCAUUGAAUAUAUGUUGGAGGGUAUAGAGUUAUCUGACUCCUGAGCUAUCUGAAGGCAAUCCUGUGUAGGGAAGUUUUUUAAUGUUUAAUGUUUUAUUAUGUUUUUAUAUAUGUCGGAAGCUUCCCAGAGUGGCUGGGGCAACCCAGUAAGACAUGUGGGGUAUAAAUAGUAAAAUGAUCAUUAUGGAAUGGGACAUCCCUAUUUUCAUCGGAGAAAUGUUGGAGGGUAUGUCAGCACGAUCACUCCAAUGCAGUGGGGUAAUCCAAGAGAAGGCUAGAGCAUAAGUGCUAUAAAACUAAUUCUGAAGCUGACCAAGCACUUGUUAGAGCACUUACCCAUCUAGUAAGUAGCACUGAAGGGGGUUAAGAAGAUGCUCUUUGCUUCUUGCAUUGCAUCGUCAAUGCAAUGAGCUUUUCUCGGUGGUCCAGAGAUUUAAAAUGGUUGUAUUUCAGGAGUCCUUUGCACUAUGAAUGUUGUUCUAUUUUUUUCUUCUUCCUGAUACUUUAAUCUUUGUUUUCAAUCUUGUACAUUGUAUGUUUUGGGUUGUUGUUGUUUUUUUUACAGUAAGUCACUUUGAGACAAACAGUGAAUCAAUCAAUCAAUUAAUCAAUCAAUCAAAGAAGCAUUUUAGAUCCAUAAAAAUGUUCAAGCUAAAAAUCCACUGCCAGUAAUCUUUGCCAUAUGUAUGGGUAUAGUGAAUGUUUCCUGUCUUCAAGCUUCUAUAACAAUGUACAUUGUUUUGGCUUUUAAAAAGCAGAAAAAAUGGCAAAAGGACAUGCUCAGGGACGGUACAGAACAUCUGUACAAUAUUGUCUUCAAUAAAGAAAUUCAAUUAAAAACUCAACAAUGUUAUGCAUGAGGUUUAUUUCUUGUCUAAUAGAAAUAUGGCAGGUUCAAGUGCUAAGAUCAUCUAUCGCCUAAAGGGGAAAAACACUUGUGAUUUUAGCAUGGCAAGCAGAGUUUAAUAUGAUUGUUUACGGAAAUUGUAAGACAUUAAUUGGAACUUUCUAUAAUAAGGCUGCCGAGAGAAAAAAAGUUUCAUGUUCACAGAUCACUUAUAAGGAGGGCAUGCCUUUUCAGACAUUCUACGCUUCUUUUAUAAAAUUAGUUUCCUGUAGGCUUAGGCAACUGGAUCAUCUAAUUAAAAUUUAACAUGCCAGUUCCUGGCCUGCAUAUGUAUUUGGUAAAAUGAUGCGGUGAUUUUUUAUUUUUUUUAAAGUUUCUAGUUAUCUCUGUAGUCAAGCAAAUCCUAAGCAGAGGUAUUACAUUCAAUAGAACUCUCUACUAAAAAAACCCCCUGUUUCUGUGGAUGUCAUUGCUGAUGUAGCCAAAAUGUCUCCACCCACACACAAGAGUGAGGAAUCAGGAGGUUUGAUGGAACCUCAUAGUACAAAAAUGUUCCCCAAUUGUUGAGUCUAUCGUAUGUGGAAAAGCAGAGAGGGAUAACACGGAAUAGCUAGAAUCUUGAGCACUGUAACAGUUUAUUGCAGGCUCCAUUUGACCUCUAAUGUCCUUUGACAUAAUUCAGCAAGUGUGAUCCAUGAGUUGAACUGAUUUUCCUCCUGUGGACUUUCAGUACAGUCAGCUGUUGCUGGAGGACGGGAUUUGCUAACAAGCAUUACUCUUAAACUAUCUCUAGGGUUAUUUUAGAAAAAAAUGUUAAUCUGUCUUUAUUGCCUUAAAAAAACACAGGAAUGUUGCAUUUAAUGCCCAUGUAUCUACAGAACAAUCUAUAGGCCUUAGAUUUCAACAGGAGCAUUAGAGUACAAUCCAUUGCAUGUAGAGCAAGAUAUAAGUUUCACUGUGUUCAGUGGGUUUUCCUAGAUAAGCAUAGAUAGGCCUGUAGGUUUUAGAACAUUCCUAAAUUUCUCUUGUUUAACUCAAUGGGGCUUUAAAGUGCUUACAUUCGGCUGGAUACUGCCUUAUGUAAAGAAUUAUAGUCGCCUCCCCUUAUUAUCAAGAUGCUGUUUUAUAUGCAAACUGAUUCAGUUCCAUUUUACUUUCGUGGUGCUACUUUUGGGUCUAUAAUUUCUAAACUUUACCAGGCAGGCACUGAAAACUUAUUAGAACAAGGCUAGCUUUAGGUAUGAAUUUCUUUGAUUUAUAGUAUAGCUGUCAAACCAUCAAGGGCACGGGACCAACUGAAAAUGUAGAGCAUGUUCUUAAAAUAACAAACACUACUAGUAUUUUUUACAACUUUGAUCCUUGAUGGGGGUCGAAAGAGAAUUUUAAAUAUAGGCUAACUUGUAACUAACACUCUAAACACACCAAUUAGCAGGGCAAUUCUAUAGGUGUCCAUUCAGAAGUAAGCCCCAUUGAAUGGGACUCAAAGGUCAGUAUAUAUAAGAUUGCUUGGUAAGCCUCUGAUGUUGCUAUCAACAGUGUGCCUAAGAAAGUAUGGGGGGGUUCUUAUUAAGGGGAAGAGCAACUGGAACAAUGGGAUUGGCAGUCCUAGAUAUCUCUGCAUUCAACCUAAAGUAAAAUUUGAAAAGAAUUUGGAUACCCUACUUUAACUGAAACACAGUGAAUUUUUA